AGUGAACGCUGGCGGUAGGCCUAACACAUGCAAGUCGAACGGCAGCACAGUAAGAGCUUGCUCUUACGGGUGGCGAGUGGCGGACGGGUGAGGAAUACAUCGGAAUCUACUUUUUCGUGGGGGUUAACGUAGGGACACUUACGCUAAUACCGCAUACGACCUACCGUUGAAAGCAGGGGAUCUUCGGACCUUGCGCGAUUGAAUGAGCCGAUGUCGGUUUAGCUAGUUGGCGGGGUAAAGGCCCACCAAGGCGACGAUCCGUCGCUUGUCUGAGUGGAUGAUCAGCCACACUGGAAGGGAGACACGGUCCAGGCUCCUACGGUAGGCACCAGUGGGGAAUAUUGGACAGUGGGCGCAAGCCUGAGCCAUCCAUACCGCGUGGGUGAAGAAGGCCUUGGGGUUGUGAAGCCGUUUUGUUGGGAAAGAAAAGCAGCAGGUUAAGACCCCGCUGUUCUGACGGUACCCAAAGAAGAAGCACCGGCUAACUUCGUG
Molecule: ribosomal RNA, 492 nt
Filed under: uncultured bacterium
Lineage: Bacteria
Description: partial 16S ribosomal RNA
Rfam family: Bacterial small subunit ribosomal RNA
Source: RNAcentral